RNAcentral lists this ribosomal RNA (640 nucleotides) under uncultured marine eukaryote. RNAcentral describes it as "SSU rRNA". It matches the Rfam family "Eukaryotic small subunit ribosomal RNA", at positions 617 to 1262 of the family's 1831-position model. The record is from RNAcentral.
GGUUAAAAAGCUCGUAGUUGGAUUUCUGUUGAGGGCGACCGGUGUACACCUCGUGUAUUAUUUGGUUCGGUCUCGGCAUCCUCUUGGGGAACGUUUCUGGACUUUAUUGGACAGGGCGAGAUUCAAGACUUUCACUUUGAGGAAAUUAGAGUGUUCACGGCAGGCAAGCGCUUUGAAUACAUUAGCAUGGAAUAAUAAUAUAGGACCUUCGUUCUAUUUUGUUGGUUUCUAGAACUUAGGUAAUGAUUAAUAGGGACAAUUGGGGGCAUUCGUAUUAACGCGUCAGAGGUGGAAUUCUUGGAUUGCGUUACGACGAACUACUGCGAAAGCAUUUGCCAAAGAUGUUUUCAUUGAUCAAGAACGAAAGUAUGGGGAUCGAAGAUGCUUAGAUACCGUCGUAGUCUAUACCAUAAACUAUGCCAACUAGAGAUUGGUGGGGUUCUCCUAUUUGGCUCCAUCAGCAUCUUAUGAGAAAUCAAAGUCUUUGGGUUCCGGGGGAAGUAUGGUCGCAAGGCUGAAACUUAAAGGAAUUGACGGAAGGGCACCACCAGGAGUGGAGCCUGCGGCUUAAUUUGACUCAACACGGGAAAACUUACCAGGUCCAGACAUAGUAAGGAUUGACAGAUUGAUAGCUCUUUCU